UACAGAGGGUGCAAGCGUUAAUCGGAUUUACUGGGCGUAAAGCGUGCGUAGGCGGCUCGCUAAGUCGGUUGUGAAAUCCCUGGGCUUAACCUGGGAACUGCAGUCGAUACUGGCGGGCUAGAGUACGGUAGAGGGAGGCGGAACUCCGGGUGUAGCGGUGAAAUGCGUAGAUAUCCGGAAGAACACCGAUGGCGAAGGCAACCUCCUGGGCCUGUACUGACGCUGAGGUACGAAAGCGUGGGGAGCAAACAGG
Molecule: ribosomal RNA, 253 nt
Filed under: uncultured bacterium
Lineage: Bacteria
Description: partial 16S ribosomal RNA
Rfam family: Bacterial small subunit ribosomal RNA
Source: RNAcentral